RNAcentral lists this long non-coding RNA (669 nucleotides) under Brassica rapa (field mustard). Its description in RNAcentral is "long non-coding RNA (BRAP_LNC006456)". Lineage: Eukaryota; Viridiplantae; Streptophyta; Magnoliopsida; Brassicales; Brassicaceae. The record is from RNAcentral.
CCACUUUCUUGGGCUCUACGACUUCCUCUGCUUUGCUCUCUUCCUCCACAACCACCGGAGCUUCUUCCUCUUUCUUGAUCUCCUCCGUCUCUGUCUUGGUUUCCUCUGUUUCUUCGACAGGGAGGUCUUUAGUGGUUACUUCCACGGGAGCUUCUUCCUCUUUCUUGAUCUCUUCAGUUUCUGUUUUGGUUUCCUCUGGUUCUUCCACUGGGAGGUCUUUAGUGGUUACUUCGACGGGAGCGUCUUCCUCCUUCUUGGUUUCCUCUGCUUCUUCGGUUUGUUUCUCUGUUUCUUCCACGGGAGCUUCAGUUUCUGUUACCGGAGCUGGAGCAGACUCGGUCACAACGGCGGCGACGGUUUCCUCAGGCUCCACUGUCUUUGGUGGUGUCAUCUCGACGUGCUCAGCUGCGGCUGGAGUCACUUGUUCAACCUGCAAAACCAUUGUCACACAUAGAUCAAUUCAAAACUGUGUAACGUUUUUAUUUGAUAUAAUCACAGAAGAAAUGAUAUUUUCUAAUGAUGUUGAUCACGUAUAUAUUGUGUAAACUUAAGCAUCUAAGUGGAUUAAGACAAGUGAAAACAUUGAAUCUAGAAUUGGAUCGCUAAUCAAACUUUAGACUAAUGAGAAAUGGGUUUGCAAAAUUUAAGAACAUAUGUAUGCAUACAUCA